Molecule: ribosomal RNA, 274 nt
Filed under: uncultured bacterium
Lineage: Bacteria
Description: partial 16S ribosomal RNA
Rfam family: Bacterial small subunit ribosomal RNA
Source: RNAcentral
AUACGGAGGGUGCAAGCGUUACUCGGAAUCACUGGGCGUAAAGCGCGCGCAGGCGGCUUGAUAAGUUGGAUGUGAAAGCCUACGGCUCAACCGUAGAACUGCAUCCAAAACUGUCAAGCUAGAGUCUGUGAGGGGAAGAUGGAAUUAGUUGUGUAGGGGUAAAAUCCGUAGAGAUAACUAGGAAUACCAAAAGCGAAGGCGAUCUUCUGGAACAGUACUGACGCUGAGGCGCGAAAGCGUGGGGAGCAAACAGAAUUAGAUACCCCAGUAGUCC